CACUCAGCAGCUGUAGCUCAGGAAGAAGCAGCGAUCCACCAGUCAGAGGGUGGUCCAGUUCCUGCCUUCACAGGGUUCCAGGAGUUUACAGUCUGAGUUUCACAUCCAUAUACAGCUUUUGUUACACUGUCUUUUG
Long non-coding RNA from Austrofundulus limnaeus, 136 nucleotides. RefSeq lists it as uncharacterized. The record is from RefSeq and is a predicted model, not a curated record. NCBI's taxonomy places the organism in Eukaryota, Metazoa, Chordata, Actinopteri, Cyprinodontiformes, Rivulidae. The transcript has 3 exons.